Durio zibethinus is the source of this 1992-nucleotide RNA transcript. It is a transcript of the gene named mitochondrial outer membrane protein porin 2-like, with no coding region annotated. Lineage: Eukaryota; Viridiplantae; Streptophyta; Magnoliopsida; Malvales; Malvaceae. The record is from RefSeq and is a predicted model, not a curated record.
AAUAGUCUAAAACCUCUCUCCUGAAAAUUUUUUUUUUUCUCUUGCUUUCAAAGUUCAAACAUGAGGAAAGAACCUGGACUCUUUUCUGAUUUUGACAAAAAAGCCAAACCUAAUAAAUUCACCUUUCUUCUCAGUCAGAUUUGGGUAACUUUGAACUAUCAACUGUUAUAUAAGCAAUUCGAUUUUUUUUUCCAGAUUUACUCAACAAAGAUUACACCUCCGACCAGAAGUUCACCAUCUGUAGCUCCAGCUUCACUGGAGUGAUUUUUUUUAGGGGGAGGAGCAGGAAAUUAUAAAUUGUGGCCCUAGAAUCAUGAAUCAUCUGGUCAUGAUUCUAACCAGUUGUCUGGAUAAUUUGUUCACUGAUUUCAUUGAGUAUAUAAAACAAAGAGGGUUGGAGGUUACCUAGUGUUUCAUGUCUUGACCUUUUGUGGGCAACAGUCGCUACGUGGAACUGAGGCUUACUUGCUGGAUGAGUUGUAUCUUUGGUCAGCAAAAUUAGUUUGAUUUACUGUUGGUUUAAAUUGUUGUUUGCUUCUCUUUCUGUUAUGCACUUUCUUUUUAUCUUUUGUGUCAGAGAUCAAGGAUUUUCUUCUCUCUGUACUUAGUUGUAUGUGAUGCCUGGUUGGUUCUUCCCUGCUGGCAUAGCUAUCCUCCUCCAUCACUAGUAUCAAAUCUUGUGAAAAAGGGAAGUCUCUUCUCUGGGGAUGUGGCAGCACAAUACAAGUACAAGAAUGUUAUAGUUGAUGUCAAGCUUGAUAUAGAGUCAAAUGUUGUUGCCAACCUUAUCUUUUGAAAUUGAAUUCAGUUUAGAUUCUUACUAAUAUUAGUUUAUGUAUUGAGCAGAUCUUGACAACCUUCACUAUCACAAAUUUACUUCCAUCUACAAAAAUAACUCUGGGAAUUUACUGACUUACUUAUCAUCUAAGCUGGAAUAAAAAAUGUUAAAAAAUGUAGACAUAAAGAUUUUUGACAGUAUAAUCUUUCUUUUGCAGUUGGAGGUUCAGUAUUUUCAUGAAUAUGCUGCUCUGACUACUGCUGUUGGGCUGAAGAAAUCCCCGGCUGUUGAUUUUUCUGCAACCAUUGAUACUCCCAGCAUUACUUUUGGUGCAAGCUACAUGACUUCUUGUAGUGAUUUUGCAAAGUAUAAUGCUGGAGUGAACAUCACAAAAUCGAGUUUAAUGCUUCAUUGAUCCUGUAAGUUUUACAGUUUUCAGUUGAUAUAGUCAUAUCUUACAGCAAUUUACUUACAGUACAUACAAAAGUAAAAUAAAAGAUUGCAUAUAGCAGUUGAUGAAAUUGGUGCAAUAUGACGACUUUUGUUUAAUAAAUAUCAAACAAAUUAAUAAUAUAAUGUUGCUUCAUUGCAGCAAAACAUAAAAACAAAAAAGCAAAUAAUGGAAAUUGUCUUUCUUGUUUUCCCCCUCAAGGUGUUAUAUUUAGAUGGCCACAACAAAAGCCAAAAGACAUAAUCAGUUAUUGUUCAUUUAAAUCAGCUGAAUGGUGGAGCUGUGGUAGGUGAGAUUGCAAGAAAGUUCUCCACAAAUGAAAACACGUUAACUGUGGGAUGUUCAUAUCUUCUUGAUCCACUCUUACUUGUUAAGGCAAAGCUUAACAACCAUGGCAAUCUUGUUGUACAUGAGCUCAGACGAAAAUCCUUUCUUACAAAUAUCUGAGACCUUUGACACGAAGGCUUUAAAGUCUUUGGAGCAAACUUUCAAGUUUGGUUUGUCUCUCACUCUCAAGUCUUGAACAAGUUUAUUUUCAAACAAUGUGGCUGAUGGAUUGAUAAAUAUCUUGAUUAUCUUUUUUCUCACUUUCACAUAGGCAUCUUGAUAGUGAUUGAAAAUGGAAUGAGUACCUUUCAGAAAGUGUUUACAUUUUUGAAUUGUUCAAAAUAAUUGAUUACUACUCUUUAAUAAAUUAUUACUCAUAUUAAGUGAUUAUGCCUCUUGUGAUGAAUUUCUUUAAAAGUGGCAUAUGGUUUGGUUG